CACAAAGGAUCUAACUGCAGGGGGAAACAAAUACAGUCACAGGAAAAUGUUAAAAGCUGCUGAUACUUUAAUUAGGGUUGUCAAAGAGGAGUCUCUGAGGAGCCUGCGACUUGAGAUCUAAAUGGUGAGACAGUCUCACACAUCAGAGAAAGUGUUCCAGGCAUGAAAAGCUGCAAGUUCAAAAACAGACCAGUUAAGAUUACUGUGCCAGUGUGCUUGUCUCCAAACAUAUGACUGAGUUGUGUAGACAUUAAUAAAAAGGAAGAACAAAUUCCCAAAAUGUAGAGUCACAUCUAUUUCCAGGGGAAUGGUGGAAAAGGCAGAAAUUCAUGGAUGUACAAAUGACUGAAAUAAGGUGACUGAUGAAUGCUCAGCCUAAACAUGAAUUCUAUAGGAUCCCUUCUAAGGCUCAAAGACAUUGUGAGAAAGGAAUUAAAAGGAUGUAAGAAUCUGAAGAUGGAGAAGACUCCACAAUGCCAUCUUCUAAGAUUUUAAUGACAAAGUAGCCCUGUAUGCCUGCACUAGAUCUGCACAAAACCUCAUCCAUCAACUGUCAGGCAUGGAUGGAAAAGAGCCUCAGCACUCCCUGUCUUUCACUGCCAAACUAUUUCUUGUUUGUGAUGGUGAUUCUUGCUUGUCAACUUGGCUAUAUUUAGAAUUAACUAAAACCUAAGCAGCUGGGAAUACCUUUUUUUUCUUAAUUAAAUCAUUUGAAGUAAGACCCACUCCAAAUCUGUAUUUUUGAGGUGGGAAGAUACACUUUAAUCCAGAUCUUUUGAGGCUA
Molecule: long non-coding RNA, 784 nt
Organism: Microtus oregoni (creeping vole)
Lineage: Eukaryota; Metazoa; Chordata; Mammalia; Rodentia; Cricetidae
Exons: 3
Source: RefSeq, a predicted model, not a curated record